GCGUCGUUGGUGUAGAGGUUAGCAUAGCUGGUUUCCAACCAACUGACCCGGGUUCGAUUCCCGGACGACGCA
Molecule: transfer RNA, 72 nt
Filed under: Flavobacteriales bacterium
Lineage: Bacteria; Pseudomonadati; Bacteroidota; Flavobacteriia; Flavobacteriales
Description: tRNA-Gly
Rfam family: tRNA
About the family: Transfer RNA (tRNA) molecules are approximately 80 nucleotides in length.
Source: RNAcentral